This 957-nucleotide ribosomal RNA is filed under the name uncultured bacterium. RNAcentral describes it as "bacterial SSU rRNA". It matches the Rfam family "Bacterial small subunit ribosomal RNA", at positions 486 to 1444 of the family's 1533-position model. The record is from RNAcentral.
GAAAGGGACGGCUAANUACGUGCCAGCAGCCGCGGUAAUACGUAGGUCCCGAGCGUUGUCCGGAUUUAUUGGGCGUAAAGCGAGCGCAGGCGGUUAGAUAAGUNUGAAGUUAAAGGCUGUGGCUUAACCAUAGUACGCUUUGGAAACUGUUUAACUUGAGUGCAGAAGGGGAGAGUGGAAUUCCAUGUGUAGCGGUGAAAUGCGUAGAUGUAUGGAGGAACACCGGUGGCGAAAGCGGCUCUCUGGUCUGUAACUGACGCUGAGGCUCGAAAGCGUGAGGAGCGAACAGGAUUAGAUACCCUGGUAGUCCACGCCGUAAACGAUGAGUGCUAGGUGUUAGGCCCUUUCCGGGGCUUAGUGCCGCAGCUAACGCAUUAAGCACUCCGCCUGGGGAGUACGACCGCAAGGUUGAAACUCAAAGGAAUUGACGGGGGCCCGCACAAGCGGUGGAGCAUGUGGUUUAAUUCGAAGCAACGCGAAGAACCUUACCAGGUCUUGACAUCCCGAUGCCCGCUCUAGAGAUAGAGUUUUACUUCGGUACAUCGGUGACAGGUGGUGCAUGGUUGUCGUCAGCUCGUGUCGUGAGAUGUUGGGUUAAGUCCCGCAACGAGCGCAACCCUUAUUGUUAGUUGCCAUCAUUCAGUUGGGCACUCUAGCGAGACUGCCGGUAAUAAACCGGAGGAAGGUGGGGAUGACGUCAAAUCAUCAUGCCCCUUAUGACCUGGGCUACACACGUGCUACAAUGGCUGGUACAACGAGUCGCAAGUCGGUGACGGCAAGCUAAUCUCUUAAAGCCAGUCUCAGUUCGGAUUGUAGGCUGCAACUCGCCUACAUGAAGUCGGAAUCGCUAGUAAUCGCGGAUCAGCACGCCGCGGUGAAUACGUUCCCGGGCCUUGUACACACCGCCCGUCACACCACGAGAGUUUGUAACACCCGAAGUCGGUGAGGUAACCUUUU